RNAcentral lists this RNase P RNA (438 nucleotides) under Phycisphaerae bacterium. Its description in RNAcentral is "RNase P RNA component class A". It matches the Rfam family "Bacterial RNase P class A". From Rfam's summary of the family: Ribonuclease P (RNase P) is a ubiquitous endoribonuclease, found in archaea, bacteria and eukarya as well as chloroplasts and mitochondria. Its best characterised activity is the generation of mature 5'-ends of tRNAs by cleaving the 5'-leader elements of precursor-tRNAs. Cellular RNase Ps are ribonucleoproteins. The record is from RNAcentral. Lineage: Bacteria; Pseudomonadati; Planctomycetota; Phycisphaerae.
AGAGUGGGCCAGGCGGCCGCUCGGGCGGGUCCGGCUUCGGGCCCGCGCGGGAGGAAAGUCCGAACUGGACCGGGCACGGUGAUGGCUAACAGCCACCGGCAGUGAUGCCAGGGAAAGUGCCACAGAAAAGACACCGCCGAUGGCCUGGGGUGGGGCCGAUUCACGUGAUCGACCCGACCCGACACAUGGCUCAGGCAAGGGUGAAAAGGUGCGGUAAGAGCGCACCGCGCGACCGGUGACGGUCGCGGCAGGGCAAACCCCACCGCCAGCAAGCCCAAAUAGGCGGCGAAGCCCGAUUCGUCGGGCGCGAUGCGGCCCGUGUCGGAUCAGCCGCGGGUAGGGUGCUCGAGCCGGCGAGCAAUCGUCGGCCCAGAUAGAUGGCCGCUGCCGCCGAGCGAUCGGCGGAGACAGAAUUCGGCUUAUCGGCCCGCUCUGCGA